This 253-nucleotide ribosomal RNA is filed under the name uncultured bacterium. RNAcentral describes it as "partial 16S ribosomal RNA". It matches the Rfam family "Bacterial small subunit ribosomal RNA", at positions 524 to 776 of the family's 1533-position model. The record is from RNAcentral.
UACGAAGGGGGCUAGCGUUGUUCGGAUUUACUGGGCGUAAAGCGCACGUAGGCGGGUCGUUAAGUCAGGGGUGAAAUCCCGAGGCUCAACCUCGGAACUGCCUUUGAUACUGCAAAUCUCGAGUCCGGAAGAGGUGAGUGGAAUUCCUAGUGUAGAGGUGAAAUUCGUAGAUAUUAGGAAGAACACCAGUGGCGAAGGCGGCUCACUGGUCCGGUACUGACGCUGAGGUGCGAAAGCGUGGGGAGCAAACAGG